This 250-nucleotide ribosomal RNA is filed under the name uncultured bacterium. Its description in RNAcentral is "partial 16S ribosomal RNA". It matches the Rfam family "Bacterial small subunit ribosomal RNA", at positions 355 to 622 of the family's 1533-position model. The record is from RNAcentral.
UCGGGAAUUUUGGGCAAUGGGCGAAAGCCUGACCCAGCAACGCCGCGUGAAGGAUGAAGUAUUUCGGUAUGUAAACUUCGAAAGAAUAGGAAGAAUAAAUGACGGUACUAUUUAUAAGGUCCGGCUAACUACGUGCCAGCAGCCGCGGUAAUACGUAGGGACCAAGCGUUGUUCGGAUUUACUGGGCGUAAAGGGCGCGUAGGCGGCUCUGUAAGUCACUUGUGAAAUCUCUGAGCUUAACUCAGAACGG